Molecule: ribosomal RNA, 253 nt
Filed under: uncultured bacterium
Lineage: Bacteria
Description: partial 16S ribosomal RNA
Rfam family: Bacterial small subunit ribosomal RNA
Source: RNAcentral
UACAGAGGGUGCAAGCGUUAAUCGGAGUUACUGGGCGUAAAGGGUGCGUAGGUGGUCUUUUAAGUUGGAUGUGAAAUCCCCGGGCUUAACCUGGGAACUGCAACCAAUACUGGGAGACUGGAGUACUGUAGAGGGUAGUGGAAUUUCCGGUGUAGCGGUGAAAUGCGUAGAGAUCGGAAGGAACACCAGUGGCGAAGGCGGCUACCUGGACAGAUACUGACACUGAGGCACGAAAGCGUGGGGAGCAAACAGG